UCAGACGAUGCGUCAUGCAUAUCAAUAAGCGGAGGAAAAGAAACUAACAAGGAUUCCCUCAGUAACGGCGAGUGAAGCGGGAAGAGCUCAAAUUUGAAAUCUUAAAGGUUUUCCCUUGACGAAUUGUAGUUUAAAGAAGUGUUUUCUGUUGAAGUUUUGGUAAAAGUUCUUUGGAAUAGGACAUCAUAGAGGGUGAGAAUCCCGUAUUUGACCAUUAUUUUCAGCUUUGUGAUACACUUUCAAAGAGUCGGAUUGUUUGGGAAUGCAGUCCAAAAUGGGUGGUAAAUUUCAUCUAAAGCUAAAUAUUGGCGAGAGACCGAUAGCGAACAAGUACCGUGAGGGAAAGAUGAAAAGAACUUUGAAAGAGAGUUAAACAGUACGUGAAAUUGUCAAAAGGGAAGCGUUUGACACCAGUGUUGUUUUCUCGAAAAUCAAUUAAAAAUGGCUUCGAUUUUGUAUUGCUGAGACCUUAAAGGCUCACUGUACAUUUUUCGUGUCUUUUUUAAUGCACUUUUCGUUUAACAAGUCAACAUCAGUUUCUUUUGUUGUAAAAGGGUCAUUGGAAGGUGGCUUUCUUUUCGGAGAAAGUGUCUAUAGCCUUUGGCCUCUGCAAUCGGAGAGACUGAGGUCUGCAGCGUAGACUCUUCGGGGUUAGAUACAUUUGUGCUAAGUUAUAGCUUUUUAUAGACAACUUGUUGACUAUAAUUAGUCUUGUAGCUUACUCGCUUAUGCUAUUUUACCUACGCUUAGGAUGUUGACUGAUAUGUAGUCGU
This 773-nucleotide ribosomal RNA is filed under the name uncultured Neocallimastigales. RNAcentral describes it as "partial large subunit ribosomal RNA". It matches the Rfam family "Eukaryotic large subunit ribosomal RNA", at positions 18 to 643 of the family's 3401-position model. The record is from RNAcentral. Lineage: Eukaryota; Fungi; Neocallimastigomycota; Neocallimastigomycetes; Neocallimastigales.